Non-coding RNA from Triticum aestivum (bread wheat), 130 nucleotides. The record is from Rfam. Lineage: Eukaryota; Viridiplantae; Streptophyta; Magnoliopsida; Poales; Poaceae.
CAUGUACUCCCUCCGUCCGGAAAUACUUGUCAUCAAAAUGAAUAAAAGGAGAUGUAUCUAGACGUAUUUCUAGAUACAUCUCCUUUUAUUCAUUUUGAUGACAAGUAUUUCCGGACGGAGGGAGUAUUUG